Long non-coding RNA from Zophobas morio, 477 nucleotides. RefSeq lists it as uncharacterized. The transcript has 2 exons. NCBI's taxonomy places the organism in Eukaryota, Metazoa, Arthropoda, Insecta, Coleoptera, Tenebrionidae. The record is from RefSeq and is a predicted model, not a curated record.
UUCAUGAAAAAUGCAUGGGUUGGAGGAGACGUGGGUUGGCAGCACUGGAGACGUGCAUUUCAACUACUCGGGAAACAUUUCAAGCCUACUUGGUGUGUGCGGGAAAGCGCGAUUUAACCACGAAAAAACGGAAAUUCGGCCGGAAAUUAAUGAAAAUUAAUUUUUGGAAACGUCCUCGAGGUAAGUUAAAAUCGACGAAUUUUUUUAGUACGAAGAAAGUUAGUGGAUGAUCUUCAAUGUCAAGGACACUGCGCAUGGCAGGCUUGCGCGACGUCAUGAACCAGUGGCGUGCAGGAGUUAUUACAUAAUUUUUUAUUGUGAAGCCCGGGCUGAGAACUUUCCUGAAGUGGGAAGCGGACAAUAUGUUCACGGUUCAAAGUUAACGAGUCCAUUAUACAUCAAGAGAACAAGGGAAGCAUGAGCGAUAAGAUUUACAAAAUAAAAGUAUAAGCGAGAAAAAUAAAAGCCACAAAUACA